UCCAAAGUCGCAUGUCAUGUAAAUAUUUGCAAUUACCCAAACGAAUGGGUGUAGAUAUACCCAUAUAUCUCAAUAUAUACAAUAUAGAUAUCUGUGCAGGUAUGUUGCUGAUUUUUGCAUUUGACUGAUUCAGCAGAAAUAUCACUUUGAUGGCAUCAUUACAGAUUACUGCGGAAGGCAAUCAAUAAAGCACCUGCGCAUCAAAGGCAGCCAAUCACAGGGCUACAUCUGUCAGAUCUACUCUAUAUAAAUUGUAUAUAUCUGUCAGUCAAAAAGUCUGUUUUUCUUUUUUUUUUCUGUUUUGUUGGCUAAAGUUAGUUGGCGUGAAUAAUUUCCACUAAAUACAAUAAAACCAUUUAGCUUGGGGCGCUCGAAAUUUACAUAGAAAUGAAAGCCUCGCAACCGGAACUGUGCCACAAAAUAAUAAUAAAAAAUACAAUAUGGACAUAGAAAUCAUUGAGGUACUCGAGACUUUGGGGGCAAAAGGAAAGAAGAAAAUUAUUCGUAGCUGUGCGUAGCUCAGGAGAGCUUAGUACCCAAAUUAUAUAUCUCCAGCUCUUACAGUUUACGAGAUAUAUAUAAAAGAAAUUUCACAAUUAAUUAUGAUAAAAUAAAAUAAAUUAUUACCAUAUUUAGAAAA
Drosophila mojavensis is the source of this 640-nucleotide long non-coding RNA. RefSeq lists it as uncharacterized. The transcript is spliced from 2 exons. The record is from RefSeq and is a predicted model, not a curated record. NCBI's taxonomy places the organism in Eukaryota, Metazoa, Arthropoda, Insecta, Diptera, Drosophilidae.